AGAACGAACGCUGGCGGCAGGCUUAACACAUGCAAGUCGAACGCUCGUAGCAAUACGGGGGUGGCAGACGGGUGAGUAACGCGUGGGAACAUACCCUCCGGUUCGGAAUAGCUCAGGGAAACUUGGAUUAAUACCGGAUACGGCUGGGAGGCGAAAGAUUUAUCGCCGGAGGAUUGGCCCGCGUUCGAUUAGCUUGUUGGUGAGGUAACGGCUCACCAAGGCGAUGAUCGAUAGCUGGUCUGAGAGGAUGAUCAGCCACAUUGGGACUGAGACACGGCCCAAACUCCUACGGGAGGCAGCAGUGGGGAAUAUUGGACAAUGGGCGCAAGCCUGAUCCAGUCAUGCCGCGUGAGUGAUGACGGCCUUAGGGUUGUAAAGCUCUUUCGCUCGGGACGAUAAUGACGGUACCGAGAUAAGAAGCCCCGGCUAACUUCGUGCCAGCAGCCGC
Molecule: ribosomal RNA, 448 nt
Filed under: uncultured bacterium
Lineage: Bacteria
Description: SSU rRNA
Rfam family: Bacterial small subunit ribosomal RNA
Source: RNAcentral